UCGUAACAAGGUUUCCGUAGGUGAACCUGCGGAAGGAUCAUUACUGAGUGAGGGCCCGCCGGGUCCAACCUCCCACCCGUGUUUAUUCGUACCUUGUUGCUUCGGCAGGCCCGCCUCACGGCCGCCGGGGGGCCUCCGCCCCCGGGCCCGCGCCUGCCGGAGACAAUCUGAACGCUGUCUGAAGAAUGCAGUCUGAGCGAUUAGCUAAAUUAGUUAAAACUUUCAACAACGGAUCUCUUGGUUCCGGCAUCGAUGAAGAACGCAGCGAAAUGCGAUAAUUAAUGUGAAUUGCAGAAUUCAGUGAAUCAUCGAGUCUUUGAACGCACAUUGCGCCCCCUGGUAUUCCGGGGGGCAUGCCUGUCCGAGCGUCAUUGCUGCCCUCAAGCACGGCUUGUGUGUUGGGCCUCCGUCCCCCCGGGGACGGGCCCGAAAGGCAGCGGCGGCACCGCGUCCGGUCCUCGAGCGUAUGGGGCUUUGUCACCCGCUCUGUAGGCCCGGCCGGCGCCUGCCGACACCCAUCAACCCU
This 526-nucleotide unclassified non-coding RNA is filed under the name Penicillium hirayamae. RNAcentral's name for it is "sequence contains 18S rRNA gene, ITS1, 5.8S rRNA gene, ITS2, 28S rRNA gene". The stretch from base 218 to 371 matches the Rfam family "5.8S ribosomal RNA". The record is from RNAcentral. Lineage: Eukaryota; Fungi; Ascomycota; Eurotiomycetes; Eurotiales; Aspergillaceae.